This is a long non-coding RNA of Rosa rugosa (rugosa rose), 534 nucleotides long. RefSeq lists it as uncharacterized. The transcript has 4 exons. The record is from RefSeq and is a predicted model, not a curated record. NCBI's taxonomy places the organism in Eukaryota, Viridiplantae, Streptophyta, Magnoliopsida, Rosales, Rosaceae.
GACAGAAACCAGAAAGAAAAAAGAGAGAAAGAGAGAGAGAGAGAGAAAGAAAGAAAGAAAGAAAGAGAUCUUCCGGUGCGGAUUCCGGCAAUUUCCGGCAGCAAAAAUGUUCUUGUUGUUUUCUGGCUUGGUGGUAGUUGAAAGAAGUGUUAAGGAUGUUGAGAUGAAGCCGCUGUCAAAAUUUGGUGACCAUCGGAGGAGUUGGCCGACGAGUGAACAGUGCCGCCGAGUGAACAGUGCGGGUGACGUAUCAAAUUACUACUGGGUGAAGGAGCUCUUAUGCGUGGUUGCCUAAAUAGUACUUUUGCAGGCUAGAUUAGUUGAGGUCGGGCGUACAUGGAGUCGAGGCAUAGCCAACAGCAUUGCUUCCGCGUACUCAUUCUAUUUCUGUUUUCUGUGAUACCUAAUAGAUUAAUAUUGCUCUGAUAAGCUGUGGGAUUAAUAUUGUUUUUGGGUUGAGACUGUUAUUUGAGAAAUUGAAGUUGUGAUUUGGGGAGCAGGUGGCUCCAGGAGUAUAAGGUUGGUUUGUUUGAA